UACGGAGGGGGCUAGCGUUGUUCGGAAUUACUGGGCGUAAAGCGCGCGUAGGCGGACCUGCAAGUCGGGGGUGAAAGCCCGAGGCUCAACCUCGGAACUGCCUUCGAUACUGCGGGUCUCGAGUCCGGGAGAGGUGAGUGGAAUUCCUAGUGUAGAGGUGAAAUUCGUAGAUAUUAGGAAGAACACCAGUGGCGAAGGCGGCUCACUGGCCCGGUACUGACGCUGAGGUGCGACAGCGUGGGGAGCAAACAGG
Molecule: ribosomal RNA, 253 nt
Filed under: uncultured bacterium
Lineage: Bacteria
Description: partial 16S ribosomal RNA
Rfam family: Bacterial small subunit ribosomal RNA
Source: RNAcentral